GGUGUGACAAAGUGGAGAAUGGGGCCCGUGUAGUUUAAAGAUGUUGACAGUUCCGCUCAUGUCAUUCGGCAGACAUACAAUAAGGCCUUUGGAUUGCAACUCUGAUCUCUGGCAUAAACAUAUUGUCUCAGAAAGGAUAGCGUCUGUCGGGCUCUGUCCGUUGACAUAUCCUGCAGGGAUGGCAUGGGAGCCAGAGAAGGAAGCAUCAGGUUGUAAUAAUUUAGGAACACAUGUGAAAUGCUUCUCAACCAUACAAGAGCAGGAUUCAGCCAAUGAAUGAAGAGUCCAGGAACACUCUUGGGCAACUGGGAUACAAGAACUGUAAAAGGACUCCCUGCAUCAGCUCUAGAAUGAAAAAGCCAGCCUACUCCAUGUGUCUGAUUCCAAACUCCAGCAUUCUGGACAUGUCAUCCCCAGUGGAAUGAAGGGGGAGGAAAAGAGAACUUCACACACACAACGGUCUUCAUAAUGGAAAGCGAAGUGGAAAGGAAACAGGCAGCGGCUUCUGACAUUGUAACAGACGUUUGAGGCAAUAUUUUCUCUGUUUAAUGUUUGCCUGCACUGGGCUGUGGGUGCUGGAAAACGUUGCUCUUUCAUAGCUACAGCUGAUCAGGUGCCAUGAUAAAGAACUUUGCAGGGUAUGUGUAUAGGCCUAACUAAAGCUUAACCUACAUUCUGAGCUGCUCCAUUGCUUCAGUCCCCAAACCAAACAACAAUAAGCCCCAUUAUUCCUUAGAAACAUUGGUUUAAUUGCAGGGUGAGGAGUAAAAAUAAUGGUUGAAACUUUCAAGUGUGUAUCUUUGUGUAGGAUAGUACUUACAGGGACGAUCCUUAUGUGGAAAUAAUCUGUAAGUAUGAAAAAUAUAAAUGUAGCCUUUUAUAUUGUAGUUUGUGUUAAACUUGGAAGAAUCAUGUCAAAUUUCUAAAUACUUGAAACCUCUUUAAAAGGAGACAUUUGAAAUUGCAAACAGUGUUGUGUAUAUAGCAAUAAAAAGGCUUACCUGGAUGCCAGAUUUACAUACAAGGAUGGUAUAUUAUCCUUUGAUAUUAUGGUAUAUUAGCUUUUGGAAUUAAUUAUUUAUUUAUAUGCUUUUGCUGAAGAAUGCAUCUAAUUGAAUUGGCUAAUAAUGUGUAGAUUCAUAGCAUGGCAGCUUGGCUUGACAAUGCCAGGCUACUGAAAUGUUAAGGGUGCUUGUCAGUUAUAGAUAACCUAUGUAUUACUAAUCACACCUUCACAAUCACCUGAGAAGGCAUCCGAGGUCCCGAACAUAAUGGCUGCCCCUCCAUAAUCUAAUUUCUAAAAGGUUGUAGUGAUAAAAACUAUAUAGAAGCUUAACAGUCAACCAUGCUGAACAGCAUCUAGCAUGAGUGGAUUUAGAGGUCUUUGGUUAAUUUCCUAGAAAGCUGUCUGGCCAGCACUACUCCAGGUAUUUAACUGCAACUCAGAUUGCAUCUCCUCCUGCCUUCACACCUCUGCUGAAGAGAAUGAAGGUUUUGUCCUCAGCACCAGUGGUGAUGUAGUCAGGGAGUGACAACAUGUCCAUUUGGGAUGCAGAUGAGAAGGUUCCCAGCAAUCAGAAAGACUGGGUAAGUGGGACACACUAGCAACAAGCAAAUGAUCAAGCCUGUAAGCAUAAAGAUUGCAAAUGUCUGCUGGUUUCUUAACUUAUUAUUUUUGGCAGGGUUGCAUAUGUUCUCUGUGCUCAUUCCAUGAAUCCAGCUGAUUAUUAUUCCAAUCACCAGAGGAAGAGAGAGUCACAUUAAUUUGUAGUAAUUAAUAGCACUGAUGCAUUUGACA
Mauremys reevesii (Reeves's turtle) is the source of this 1798-nucleotide long non-coding RNA. RefSeq lists it as uncharacterized. The record is from RefSeq and is a predicted model, not a curated record. NCBI's taxonomy places the organism in Eukaryota, Metazoa, Chordata, Testudines, Geoemydidae. The transcript has 3 exons.